CGCAUCUGUGCAUGCAGCAUAUCAAUAAGCGGAGGAAAAGAAACUAACAAGGAUUCCCCUAGUAACGGCGAGUGAAGCGGGAAGAGCUCAAAUUUGAAAUCUUAAAGGGUUUCCCUUUACGAAUUGUAGUUUAAAGAAGUGUUUUCUGUUGAGGUUUUGGUAAAAGUUCUUUGGAAUAGGACAUCAUAGAGGGUGAGAAUCCCGUAUUUGACCUUUACUUUCAACUUUGUGAUACACUUUCAAAGAGUCGGAUUGUUUGGGAAUGCAGUCCAAAAUGGGUGGUAAAUUUCAUCUAAAGCUAAAUAUUGGCGAGAGACCGAUAGCGAACAAGUACCGUGAGGGAAAGAUGAAAAGAACUUUGAAAAGAGAGUUAAACAGUACGUGAAAUUGUCAAAAGGGAAGCGUUUGACACCAGUGUUGUUUUUCUGAAAAUCAAUUAAAGAACUGUUUAUGCUAAGCUGUUUAGACUUUAUCAGCUAACUGUUUAGUUUUGAGCUUUUCUUUAAUGCACUUUUCAGUUAACAAGUCAACAUCAAUUUCUUUUGCUGUAAAAAAGCUUGAGGAAGGUGGCUUGAGAUUCGUCUUAAGUGUUUAUAGCCUCUUGCCUAUGCAGUCGGAGAGAUUGAGGUCUGCAGCGUAGAUCCUUCGGGGCUAAAUGCAUUUGUGCUAAGUUAUAGCAUUUUAUAGACAACUUGUUGACUAUGAUUUGUCUUGUAGCUUACUCGCUUAUGUUAUUUUACCUACGCUUAGGAUGUUGACAGCAGUAUAGACUGU
RNAcentral lists this ribosomal RNA (774 nucleotides) under uncultured Neocallimastigales. RNAcentral describes it as "partial large subunit ribosomal RNA". It matches the Rfam family "Eukaryotic large subunit ribosomal RNA", at positions 26 to 637 of the family's 3401-position model. The record is from RNAcentral. Lineage: Eukaryota; Fungi; Neocallimastigomycota; Neocallimastigomycetes; Neocallimastigales.